RNAcentral lists this long non-coding RNA (231 nucleotides) under Ananas comosus (pineapple). Its description in RNAcentral is "long non-coding RNA (ACOM_LNC037355)". The record is from RNAcentral. Lineage: Eukaryota; Viridiplantae; Streptophyta; Magnoliopsida; Poales; Bromeliaceae.
UUAUGUAUGUAUAGUAAACUUCUGUUUUUAUAUAUGUUUUAUUUCUUUCUAGCAGCUCUAUACUACUGGUUGUAGUGUUGUAUGAUUACAGGUAUAGGUACAGCUUCGCUUCGUAUACAGAAAAAAUUUCUAUGUAUACGGUGGGUCUGUUAGCGUGCUCGGGGAAAUGAGGAAUCUGGGGCGUGACACUUUUAGCGCAUACUUAAAUUAGAUUAAGGUGCAAUUUAUUUA